This 433-nucleotide ribosomal RNA is filed under the name uncultured Lachnospiraceae bacterium. RNAcentral's name for it is "partial 16S ribosomal RNA". It matches the Rfam family "Bacterial small subunit ribosomal RNA", at positions 341 to 792 of the family's 1533-position model. Lineage: Bacteria; Bacillati; Bacillota; Clostridia; Lachnospirales; Lachnospiraceae. The record is from RNAcentral.
ACGGGAGGCAGCAGUGGGGAAUAUUGCACAAUGGGGGAAACCCUGAUGCAGCGACGCCGCGUGAGUGAAGAAGUAUUUCGGUAUGUAAAGCUCUAUCAGCAAGGAAGAAAAUGACGGUACUUGACUAAGAAGCCCCGGCUAACUACGUGCCAGCAGCCGCGGUAAUACGUAGGGGGCAAGCGUUAUCCGGAUUUACUGGGUGUAAAGGAGCGUAGACGGUAAGGCAAGUCUGAAGUGAAAUGCAUGGGCUCAACCCAUGAACUGCUUUGGAAACUGUCUGACUAGAGUGCAGGAGAGGUAAGUGGAAUUCCUAGUGUAGCGGUGAAAUGCGUAGAUAUUAGGAGGAACACCAGUGGCGAAGGCGGCUUACUGGACUGUAACUGACGUUGAGGCUCGAAAGCGUGGGGAGCAAACAGGAUUAGAUACCCUGGUA